This 253-nucleotide ribosomal RNA is filed under the name uncultured bacterium. Its description in RNAcentral is "partial 16S ribosomal RNA". It matches the Rfam family "Bacterial small subunit ribosomal RNA", at positions 524 to 776 of the family's 1533-position model. The record is from RNAcentral.
UACAGAGACUGCAAGCGUUAUUCGGAUUCAUUGGGCGUAAAGGGUGCGUAGGCGGCGCGGUAAGUCGGGUGUGAAAUCUCGGAGCUUAACUCCGAAACUGCAUUCGAUACUGCCGUGCUUGAGGACUGGAGAGGAGACUGGAAUUUACGGUGUAGCGGUGAAAUGCGUAGAUAUCGUAAGGAAGACCAGUGGCGAAGGCGGGUCUCUGGACAGUUCCUGACGCUGAGGCACGAAGGCCAGGGGAGCAAACGGG